GACGAAGGAUGCAAGCGUUAUCCGGAUUCACUGGGUUUAAAGGGUGCGUAGGAGGGCAGGGAAGUCCGUGGUGAAAUCUCCGAGCUUAACUCGGAAACUGCCGUGGAUACUCUCUGUCUUGAAUCCCGUGGAGAUGAGCGGAAUAUGUCAUGUAGCGGUGAAAUGCUUAGAUAUGACAUAGAACACCAAUUGCGAAGGCAGCUCGUUACACGAAGAUUGACUCUGAGGCACGAAAGCGUGGGGAUCAAACAGG
RNAcentral lists this ribosomal RNA (253 nucleotides) under uncultured bacterium. RNAcentral describes it as "partial 16S ribosomal RNA". It matches the Rfam family "Bacterial small subunit ribosomal RNA", at positions 524 to 776 of the family's 1533-position model. The record is from RNAcentral.